GGCACGCCUGCCAUCCUCUCUGCAACAAGCAGAGUUGAAUGCUCACAGUACAGCUUCCCGCUCCCCGCUCCUGGCAAUCUGAUCGCGUCUUGUGCACUGCCCAAGAGCUCUGAGAAACACAAACUCCGCAGGGAUUAGACUGUGCCUGGGCUGUAACCUCAACUACAAAGGAUUCUGUGCUGCCUGUACCAGGAAUGGCAAUCACGACUUUGUUUCAAAAGUUGUUUAUAAAAAAAUUUUUUUUAAAGUUGUUUAUAUUCAAUCUUGCAGCUCUUCCUUUAUUUCAAAAGGGUUGUAACAACUACCUUGCUAGUUUUGCCCACCUUGCAGCUAUGUUUUUGUUUCAGAAGAUCUUUAGGACUAACUUGUUAUGAUGUUCUGCUCCUGUAACCCCUGCCGGCCAAAUUCCCCAUUUAGACAUCCGUUUGCAUAAGCUGUGAAAGCCGUGUCUCCCUCACAUCCAAUGCUGAGUGCUCAAGCCCCGACUGGGGGGGAGGCAGCCAGUGUAUAGGAAUAAAAAGGCUUGCUUUGAUUAA
Meriones unguiculatus (Mongolian gerbil) is the source of this 536-nucleotide long non-coding RNA. RefSeq lists it as uncharacterized. The transcript is spliced from 2 exons. The record is from RefSeq and is a predicted model, not a curated record. Lineage: Eukaryota; Metazoa; Chordata; Mammalia; Rodentia; Muridae.